RNAcentral lists this ribosomal RNA (497 nucleotides) under uncultured bacterium. RNAcentral's name for it is "partial 16S ribosomal RNA". It matches the Rfam family "Bacterial small subunit ribosomal RNA", at positions 28 to 507 of the family's 1533-position model. The record is from RNAcentral.
GAUGAACGCUGGCGGCGUGCCUAAUACAUGCAAGUCGAGCGAACGGACGAGAAGCUUGCUCCUCUGAUGUUAGCGGCGGACGGGUGAGUAACACGUGGAUAACCUACCUAUAAGACUGGGAUAACUUCGGGAAACCGGAGCUAAUACCGGAUAAUAUUUUGAACCGCAUGGUUCAAAAGUUAAAGACGGUCUUGCUGUCACUUAUAGAUGGAUCCGCGCUGCAUUAGCUAGUUGGUAAGGUAACGGCUUACCAAGGCAACGAUGCAUAGCCGACCUGAGAGGGUGAUCGGCCACACUGGAACUGAGACACGGUCCAGACUCCUACGGGAGGCAGCAGUAGGGAAUCUUCCGCAAUGGGCGAAAGCCUGACGGAGCAACGCCGCGUGAGUGAUGAAGGUCUUCGGAUCGUAAAGCUCUGUUAUUAGGGAAGAACAUAUGUGUAAGUAACUGUGCACAUCUUGACGGUACCUAAUCAGAAAGCCACGGCUAACUACGUG